RNAcentral lists this ribosomal RNA (1407 nucleotides) under uncultured bacterium. RNAcentral describes it as "bacterial SSU rRNA". It matches the Rfam family "Bacterial small subunit ribosomal RNA". The record is from RNAcentral.
AGAGUUUGAUCCUGGCUCAGGACGAACGCUGGCGGCGCGCUUAACACAUGCAAGUCGAACGGACCGAAUUCUUUCGGGAACGAGGUUAGUGGCAAACGGGUGAGUAACGCGUAGGCAACCUGCCUCCCGGAUAGGGACAACGGCUCGAAAGAGCCGCUAAUACCUCAUGUCGUACAGAGGUCGCAUGAUUUCUGUAUGAAAGGUGCUCAUGGCACCGCCGGGAGAGGGGCCUGCGUCUGAUUAGCUAGUUGGUGAGGUAACGGCCCACCAAGGCGACGAUCAGUAGCCGGUCUGAGAGGAUGAACGGCCACAAUGGGACUGAGACACGGCCCAUACUCCUACGGGAGGCAGCAGUGGGGAAUCUUCCGCAAUGGGCGAAAGCCUGACGGAGCGACGCCGCGUGAGUGAAGAAGGUCUUCGGACCGUAAAGCUCUUUUGUUAUAGGCGAAAGGCUGAAGUAGGAAAUGACUUCAGUAAGACGGUAUAUAACGAAUAAGCCACGGCUAACUACGUGCCAGCAGCCGCGGUAAUACGUAGGUGGCGAGCGUUGUCCGGAAUUAUUGGGCGUAAAGGGAGCGCAGGCGGAAGGACAAGCCAGAUUUGAAAGUUCGGGGCUCACCCCCGUGACGGAUCUGGAACUGUCCUCCUUGAGAGCGGGAGAAGGAAGCGGAAUUCCUGGUGUAGCGGUGAAAUGCGUAGAUAUCAGGAAGAACACCAGUGGCGAAAGCGGCUUUCCGGACCGAAUCUGACGCUGAGGCUCGAAAGCCAGGGGAGCGAACGGGAUUAGAUACCCCGGUAGUCCUGGCCGUAAACGAUGGAUGCUAGGUGUGGGAGGUAUCCACCCCUUCCGUGCCGGAAGCAAACCCAUAAGCAUCCCGCCUGGGGGAGACGGGCGCAAGAAUGAAACUCAAAGGAAUGACCCGGGGCCCGCACAACCCGGUGGAGUAUGUGGUUUAAUUCGACGCAACGCGAAGAACCUUACCAGGGGCUUGACAUUGAUUGAAAGACAUAGAGAUAUGUCCCUCUCUUCGGAGACAAGAAAACAGGUGGUGCAUGGCUGUCGUCAGCUCGUGUCGUGAGAUGUUGGGUUAAGUCCCGCAACGAGCGCAACCCCUGUACUGUGUUGCCAGCAUGUAAAGAUGGGAACUCACAGUAGACUGCCGCGGAGAACGCGGAGGAAGGCGGGGAUGACGUCAAGUCAUCAUGCCCCUUAUGCCCUGGGCUACACACGUACUACAAUGGGCAGGACAGAAGGAAGCGACAUCGCGAGAUGAAGCGGACCCUGAAACCUGUCCCCAGUUCGGAUUGCAGGCUGAAACCCGCCUGCAUGAAGUCGGAAUCGCUAGUAAUCGCAGGUCAGCAUACUGCGGUGAAUACGUUCCCGGGCCUUGCACACACCGCCCGUCA